UACGUAGGGGGCAAGCGUUGUCCGGAUUUAUUGGGCGUAAAGAGCUCGUAGGCGGUUUGUCGCGUCUGCUGUGAAAUCCCGAGGCUCAACCUCGGGCCUGCAGUGGGUACGGGCAGACUGGAGUGCGGUAGGGGAGAAUGGAAUUCCUGGUGUAGCGGUGGAAUGCGCAGAUAUCAGGAGGAACACCGAUGGCGAAGGCAGUUCUCUGGGCCGUAACUGACGCUGAGGGGCGAAAGCGUGGGGAGCGAACAGG
This 253-nucleotide ribosomal RNA is filed under the name uncultured bacterium. Its description in RNAcentral is "partial 16S ribosomal RNA". It matches the Rfam family "Bacterial small subunit ribosomal RNA", at positions 524 to 776 of the family's 1533-position model. The record is from RNAcentral.